RNAcentral lists this ribosomal RNA (497 nucleotides) under uncultured bacterium. Its description in RNAcentral is "partial 16S ribosomal RNA". It matches the Rfam family "Bacterial small subunit ribosomal RNA", at positions 28 to 507 of the family's 1533-position model. The record is from RNAcentral.
GAUGAACGCUGGCGGCGUGCCUAAUACAUGCAAGUCGAGCGAACAGAUAAGGAGCUUGCUCCUUUGACGUUAGCGGCGGACGGGUGAGUAACACGUGGGUAACCUACCUAUAAGACUGGGAUAACUUCGGGAAACCGGAGCUAAUACCGGAUAACAUUUGGAACCGCAUGGUUCUAAAGUGAAAGAUGGUUUUGCUAUCACUUAUAGAUGGACCCGCGCCGUAUUAGCUAGUUGGUAAGGUAACGGCUUACCAAGGCAACGAUACGUAGCCGACCUGAGAGGGUGAUCGGCCACACUGGAACUGAGACACGGUCCAGACUCCUACGGGAGGCAGCAGUAGGGAAUCUUCCGCAAUGGGCGAAAGCCUGACGGAGCAACGCCGCGUGAGUGAUGAAGGGUUUCGGCUCGUAAAACUCUGUUAUUAGGGAAGAACAAACGUGUAAGUAACUGUGCACGUCUUGACGGUACCUAACCAGAAAGCCACGGCUAACUACGUG